This 483-nucleotide ribosomal RNA is filed under the name uncultured bacterium. RNAcentral describes it as "partial 16S ribosomal RNA". It matches the Rfam family "Bacterial small subunit ribosomal RNA", at positions 30 to 507 of the family's 1533-position model. The record is from RNAcentral.
AUUGAACGCUGGCGGCAGGCCUAACACAUGCAAGUCGAGCGGAUGAAGGGAGCUAGCUUCUGGAUUCAGCGGCGGACGGGUGAGUAAUGCCUAGGAAUCUGCCUGGUAGUGGGGAUAACGUCCGGAAACGGGCGAUAAUACCGCAUACGUCCCGAGGGAGAAAGUGGGGGAUCUUCGGACCUCACGCUCUCAGCUGAGCCUAGGUCGGAUUAGCUAGUUGGUGGGGUAAAGGCCUACCAAGGCGACGAUCCGUAACUGGUCUGAGAGGAUGAUCAGUCACACUGGAACUGAGACACGGUCCAGACUCCUACGGGAGGCAGCAGUGGGGAAUAUUGGACAAUGGGCGAAAGCCUGAUCCAGCCAUGCCACGUGUGUGAAGAAGGUCUUCGGAUUGUAAAGCACUUUAGGUUGGGAGGAAGGGCAGUAAGUUAAUACCUUGCUGUUUUGACGUUACCAACAGAAUAAGCACCGGCUAACUUCGUG